GACGAACGCUGGCGGUGUGCUUAACACAUGCAAGUCGAACGGAAAGGCCCUGCUUUCGUGGGGUGCUCGAGUGGCGAACGGGUAAGUAACACGUGAGUAACCUGCCCUUGACUUUGGGAUAACUUCAGGAAACGGGGGCUAAUCCCGUAUAGGAGCUCCUGCUGCAUUGUGGGGGUUGGAAAGUUUCGGCGGUUGGGGAUGGACGCGCGGCUGAUCAGCUUGUUGGUUGGGUAGUGGCAUACCAAGGCUUUGACGGGUAGCCGGCCUGAGAGGGUGACCGGCGACAUUGGGACUGAGAUACGGCGCAGACUGCUACGGGGGGCAGCAGUGGGGAAUAUUGCACAAUGGGCGGAAGCCUGAUGCAGCAACGCCGCGUGCGGGAUGACCGCCUGCGGGUUGUAAACCGCUUCCGCCUGUGACGACGCGUGAGUGACGGUAAUGAGUAAAGAAGCACCGGCUAACUACGUG
This 468-nucleotide ribosomal RNA is filed under the name uncultured bacterium. RNAcentral's name for it is "partial 16S ribosomal RNA". It matches the Rfam family "Bacterial small subunit ribosomal RNA", at positions 28 to 507 of the family's 1533-position model. The record is from RNAcentral.